UUGCCAAACGAGUUGUGAAUAUAAGCUUUAUACAAUGAUCAUCUUACCAUGUUUCUCAUAAUCCAAAUCAACCACAAGGCAACCCUCAAAUUACAUUUCCUUUUCUUCUUGGUCCGUCCCAACUAUACCCACCACCACCUUAUCCACUAACCAGGACGAAGUUUUAAUACUACUAUAGUGGCUACGGCAGCUGCAUCCACUGCCGCUACAUCCAUUUAGAACCUGGUAACUUCAAAUCUUGAUUCCACAAAACUUUGGGCCUAGGUCCCUAAUUGUUUUAGUCUAAUUUCCAUUUUUUUCCUUUUGAGUGUGUUGAAUUGAAAGAAGUUUUGGUUUCUAUUUAGAAAUAACACUGAAUAAUUAUGUCUCGUAAUGUGAAUCAGCUUAGUUUUAUGAAGCCAUUAAAGAUGGAACUAAUUUUUAAGUAAUCACUAAUACUUUCUUUGGGUUUUGCCGGUUUGGAAUGAUGCAUUUUGACUUCGUUAUGUUGUUGCUGGUUUGUGGAACGUUAGCGCGCUUUCCAAGUCGUUACUAAUUCGUUUUAUGAGAAAUUUUUCUUUAUGCUAAUCUACUUUUGAUCCUUUUUAAGUGUUAGUUGUAUUGCGCAAAUCAUACUCUUGUUUUGUUCAUGAAACAUAGACUUCUUUCUGAGCU
Long non-coding RNA from Raphanus sativus (radish), 654 nucleotides. RefSeq lists it as uncharacterized. The transcript is spliced from 2 exons. The record is from RefSeq and is a predicted model, not a curated record. Lineage: Eukaryota; Viridiplantae; Streptophyta; Magnoliopsida; Brassicales; Brassicaceae.